Molecule: ribosomal RNA, 426 nt
Filed under: uncultured Dialister sp.
Lineage: Bacteria; Bacillati; Bacillota; Negativicutes; Veillonellales; Veillonellaceae
Description: bacterial SSU rRNA
Rfam family: Bacterial small subunit ribosomal RNA
Source: RNAcentral
GGGGAAUCUUCCGCAAUGGACGAAAGUCUGACGGAGCAACGCCGCGUGAGUGAUGACGGCCUUCGGGUUGUAAAGCUCUGUGAUCGGGGACGAAUGGCUGGUAUGCUAAUACCAUAUCAGAGUGACGGUACCCGAAUAGCAAGCCACGGCUAACUACGUGCCAGCAGCCGCGGUAAUACGUAGGUGGCAAGCGUUGUCCGGAAUUAUUGGGCGUAAAGCGCGCGCAGGCGGCUUCUUAAGUCCAUCUUAAAAGUGCGGGGCUUAACCCCGUGAUGGGAUGGAAACUGGGAGGCUGGAGUAUCGGAGAGGAAAGUGGAAUUCCUAGUGUAGCGGUGAAAUGCGUAGAGAUUAGGAAGAACACCGGUGGCGAAGGCGACUUUCUGGACGACAACUGACGCUGAGGCGCGAAAGCGUGGGGAGCAAACA